GUAAACCCAAGGUUUCCAGGGGAAGGUUCGUCCGCCCUGGGUUAGUCGGGACCUAAGCUGAGGCCGAAAGGCGUAGGCGAUGGACAACAGGUUGAUAUUCCUGUACUACCGAUAACCGUUUGAGAGAAGGGAUGACACAGUAGGAUAAGCUAAGCACACUGUUGGUUAUGUGUGCCCAAGCAUUGAGGCAGUCAAAGUAGGCAAA
This 205-nucleotide ribosomal RNA is filed under the name Clostridioides difficile. RNAcentral's name for it is "partial 23S ribosomal RNA". It matches the Rfam family "Bacterial large subunit ribosomal RNA", at positions 1339 to 1540 of the family's 2925-position model. The record is from RNAcentral. Lineage: Bacteria; Bacillati; Bacillota; Clostridia; Peptostreptococcales; Peptostreptococcaceae.